Molecule: non-coding RNA, 93 nt
Organism: Cicer arietinum (chickpea)
Lineage: Eukaryota; Viridiplantae; Streptophyta; Magnoliopsida; Fabales; Fabaceae
Source: Rfam
AAUGAGCAUAUGAUGAAUUUUAAUAUGUGUAAAUGGGUAAUUUGCAUCUGAAUUUUAUUGAUGCUACAUCACCUUGGAGAACUGAUGCUCAUA